UCCAGGAGUGCUGGGUGAUUGUUGUGUCUGUCCAUAAGCAGUGGUAUUGGCUGGAGGUUUCUGUGCUUGAGAAGGUCCAUAAUUGGUCCCAUAUCCAGGUUGAGCUGGUGGUUGACUCCCGUAACCAGUUUGGGCAUAUCCUGGCUGGGUGGAUCCUUGAGGUGGAUAGCUUGAUGGAUUUGGGCUAGGCUGUUGUCCAGUAGGAUAACCUUGCUGACCUGUUGCAGGGGGAUGACUUGGUGCCUGGGCUGAGUCUCCUUGGGCCCCAUAGGAGGAAGUGUGUCCUUCCUGAUUAGCAUUGGCUACAUUACCAUAACUGGGUGCAGAGGUAUAACCUUGCUGUUGAUCAUAUGGUGGGGGUUGACCAUAACCUGAUUGAGCAUACCCACCAUAGCCAUCAUAACUUUGUCCCUGCUGAUUAUAACCAGAAGUUGGUGGCUGACUGUAAUUAUAACCAGUAUUAUCUGCUGGUGCUGCAGAACCACCAGGAGUUGGUGCUGCUUGAGAAGAAGCUGGCUGAUUAUAGUAAUCAUAACCCUGACCAGUCUGCUGAUUGGCAGAGACAUUCGACUGAUCCCAGUUGGUUGGAUAUCCACCAGAUGAUGGUUGGGGAGGAUAUCCUGCAUAAGGUGGCUGAGAUGUAUUAUACUGAGGCGGUGGACCAGGGUAAGCUCCAGGCUGCAUGUAGCCAUAACCAGGCUGCUGCAUUGGAGUAGCUCCAGGUUGCCCCCAGCUGCUUUGUGGUCUUGUUUGAUAUCCUUGCUGUGGAUACCCUCCACCCAUUGACGGAUUUCUUGCACGAUUCUGCACAAAGCAUUUUUGUCCCAAGUAAUCAAAGCAAAUUUUUUCACACGUGGCAGCAAACAGUUAACAGUCAUAGCAAAACAUAUAACAUAUGUUUAUAUAUAAACAUUUAGACAACUGAAAAAACCACAUCUAGACAUCAGCAUUAAACAAAUAAGCAUGUAAGAUGUAGGGAUUAAUUGAUUUCAUAUUUUAUCAGGAAGGGGUAUGAAUGCCUACAUACCGUACUUGGUUGAUGGAAUUAUUGAGUUACUCCUGCAGAAGCCCAUCCUCUACCUACUUGAAGUGAAUAGGUAGUGGUACCAAAAGAACAAAAGGAAGAAAAAAACAACAACUAUACAAGCUUUACCACAAAAGUAAAAGAGGGUAUACAAAUCUCACUGCUGCCAUAAGCUGGCAAUGCUUUCAUGCUCAUCUUAAGUGCAGAACACUAAUAUGAUAUAGUACCCAUUUGAUGAAUUAUAAAUAAUAGAAGCAUUAAGUCAAUAUAAUAAAGCCAUUAAUUAUUACUUUGGCUAUUAACUUGAACAGUAACAAACAAAUACAAGUGCUAUACAAAAGGUAUGUACACAAUGAUAGUUUGUGGCAACUAAAUUUCAAGUGACACACAACAAAUACACACAAAUAGGCAAGAAUGGACUAGUUUGAGAAGCCACAAAUGCAGAAUUGCAGAAAGAAAUACAAAAGAGAAAUGAGACCUCAACCUGCACAUCUCUGGAUAACACAUCCAGCUUGGUCAAUGUGGCAUUAGAAGGGAUUGGAGAUUGUGUAGAAACAAGGUGGGGAUAAAAAGCCAAGCACGGUGGCAGAGAUUAUGAGGUUAAAAUAUCUAUCAAGGAGAACUCAUUUAACAUGAAAAAAUAACAAUUAUCCUGGUAAAACAAAUUAUCACUAGGAUGAAAACAACAAUAAACAUUCAAAAUUAAUUAUAGAAAGACAAAGCAAAAGCAUAAUGUUCUUAAAAUUUGAGAUCAAUAAAAACCACCAAAAUCAAUUAUAAUAUACUAGGCAACAAUAGUUAUCCCCAUUAAGUCACUCAGUAGCAAUAGUGAAGGGGCACUCCGGACAAUAAAGAUUAUCACAAAGACUUGUACCCCAAAAGCCAAUCAAAUCUAUUAAGAUUGUACUCCUCACAAGUAAACUUGCUUCUCAGCAUAAUAUAGUUCACUAAACAUCAAAAAAUGGGAUUCAGAGCCAUACCAGAGAGAUGCCGAGGGAACACCAACACAAUGGAACCCAUGUUGGUGUCACCAAAAGUCCAAAAACACUAACCCUACAAUUGUUCCCAACAACAUCAGUCACAUGACAUGAUCUAUAUAAGUACAGAUGGUGGUAGAGCACACUAUAAACCAAAAGGCUAUUCGCUUGGGAAUACAGUCAAUACUAGAGAAAUAUAGCGCUAAAGAAAUUAGCAUUAUAACACAGCCUUGCUGACUAAACAAAUAAAGCUAAUGCUUGCCCAACAAGCCAAGGAUAAAAUAUAUCAGCAUAGCACUAACAACUAUAUAACAAAAAUAAUACUCUUCAUUCAAGGCUGGGACUUUGAACUUUUAACAUUUCAUCCCUCUAGCCGUCGUCCCAUACAUCCACCAUCAACUUCAAAAUAUAUAUUAGCAGCACUAAGAAUAUAGUAGAGAAAUAAGAAUUAAUGCAGUUGGCAAGACAACCGAUAAAUGUUUACACAAGUCAGUCACAACUCAAAUCUCAGAAAUUAAAAUUCAGUCAAUGCACAAUUCCAUGCUAUCUAUAUCAGCUCCUAGUAUAAGACUAUAGACCAUAAAUUUCUUAAUAAACAGCCCAGGAAUCUCAAUUCAAGUAUGAAAAGGUAGGAAUAUCCUACACUAUGAAGCAGCAAAAGAUCUAAAAGCACGAAACAACUCAAAUGAUGAACUAACUAACAAAGUGAGGCAAAGAUUGAAGCUCUAUUGAAAAAUUAAAAAACCAAAGGAAGAAUGAGAUGGCAGUAAAGAGAAGAGAGAGAGAGAGUAAUAGAUAUUAAAAGCAAUUUUCAGAACCAGAUCUGAAUUAUGUACUUCAACCUGAAUACAGGCCCAAAAAGAUAUAAAAUGAACAUAUUACAGCAAGAUAUAUAUAUACAUAUAUAAACAACCAGAGGAAAAAAGAACUAGUUCCUCAGUUACACCAAAAUAUAUAAUAAAUCAACUCUUUGAUGCAGCAAGUCAAUGUAAAAGAUAGCAGCUAAAUCUGAAUAUCAAGUAAAAAAAUUAAAAUACAAAAUAAUAUAAUAAGCCAUGAACUUCUCGCAUAAGCACAAAUCUCAUGUUUUCUUAUAAUAACUAAUACAAGAAGUAGAAUUGAAGAAAAUAACAAGUAUAAUUUAAGAGAAUAACAAGGCUAAAGUAAAACCAAGCAGAAAAGCAAAGGAAUCAAAACCAAAUAAAAAAAAUGAAGGAAAAUUCAUCUAACAGGAGCAAACAUAGUAAAAUGGAAGCACAGAGAAGAAUUAGGGGUAACAUCCUAUCUUCAGUAUUGUAUUUGCCUUCACUUAACAUGCUUCACACAAUAAAACCUAGGAGUUCCUUGGGCCCAACACUGAAAACAAACAUCAACAACCAAGCAUACCUCACUGGUAACUUCAAGAACCAACUGUUUAGCAAGUUCAAUCUGUUCACUAGUCCCCUCUAUAUGCACAUUCCUUUCUGUUGAUGUAUCACCCGGGGGUAAAUGCAAAGGUAUCACCUGCAGAAGUUUAAAAUACAAAUCUUUGAUUAACUUACUCACGGUAAGUAUUUGAUGUCAACAAUAAACAAGGGAAUCUGCAAAAAUAACAAUGAAUUUGAAUAAUACUACAACACCAACAAAGCUAGAACAUAGAUGAUGGGAGAUGAUCAGGUGUAUGUGGUGCUUAGCAUUGGAAAACGAACCUGAAUACGAGCUCCAGUCCUAGUUUGCAUGUUCUUGAUUGUUUCACCACCUUUACCAAUUACCAGACCAACCUGAAGCCAUAAACAUCACAUGCAAUCCUGAACAAGAAACAAAAUAUAAAAUGGUAGAUGUGCAUGGCUUCUAGACUAUACCUUAUUAUUAGCAAUUUUCAUCACAAAAUGUUCAGAACCACCUUGUCCUGUAAACCUUCUGGAAACAGUGCCAGAACCUCCCGCAUCAGCCUACACAAAAAAAUCCAUCAGGAGGAACCACGUUGUUAUUAGUUUGAUACAUCAUUAAAAAAUGAACAUUGCAUCUCCUUGUCUCCUUAGAAUAUAAAUAAAAAAUAAACACCACAUAUCAUGUUAACCCUUUAGAUAAAAACAAUAUACUAUCUCUUAUUUCCAUUAACUUCACUUGAACUGAACAGAGAUCUCAUGUUGCUAAUGAGCAAGCAGACAAAAACAGCAUUUGCAAAGGAAGCCAUCAAACAUUUGCCCUCAAUCUUACCUGUUCAAGAACUUCAUUUAUUAACUGUUCUGCCUUUGCAAUUUGCUCAGGAGUACCCAUGAGCUCUACCAUCCUAGUAGGAGAAUUCGGGUCAGAAUCCAUAUCUCGAGUAACCUGAAUCUUUGCUCCAGAUUGGAGCUGAAGAUAUUUAAUUGUCUCUCCACCUUUCCCAAUGAUAACACCAACCCUACCAUUUGGAAUAUCAAUCUUUUUGCUUGAACCUCCCAGGUACGAGCUAUAUGAAACAGGAAUUGUAGAAGGGGCCGAGUUUGACAGAGAUUUCAUAUCUGCAGUAAAUCAAAAGUUAUAAAAAUGCCUUCUAGAAAAGAAUCAUCUGCAGUCUUGACACAUAAAGUAGGGAAGUAAAACCAAAACACGGCUCAAAGCAAAUGAAAUUCAAUAGAAGAUAGUCGAGAUCAAGUCAGCGGCCACAUAUUGACGAAAUCAAGUCCUAUACUGCGUCGAUACAUGUAUAUAGCAGAAAACUCCAAGAUAAUCUCAAUACAAAUCCGUGUACAUGUAAAAAGAAUUCAAAGGCAUAGAAGAGACAGAUAACAAAACCUCCUUAACCCCGAGCCCCAAUUAAUUCAGUAAAAUCAACCAAUACUUAUACGUAUAGCAUGGAAAGAAAAUUAGAAGCCUCGAAACACUGAAAACUGAGUGCAGCCACAAAGUCAAAAGAUUAAAGCACAAGCCAAGGAAGGGAACGAAACAAACAUCAAAUCAAAGAAAAUAACGAAAGAGCAAAGUAGCCGCGCAAAAGUGCAAUCACAGAUAUGCGCACACAAAUUCAUAGUAAUAAAAACAAAUAAUGUUGAAUAUAUGUACAUAUAUUUAAAGAAAGAAAGUGUGCGAGUCUCAACCAUUAGGAGCAGUGCUAAAACCCUUAUCACUGGAAUCGAAUCCAGAAGCACCAUUCUCCACCCUAGGACGCUUAAUAUCAGCACCGGCACCACUAAGCAGGCGAGCGGCUAUUUCCUGAGCUUUCUGUUUGGCCAUCUGGAUCUCAUCGGUAGGCGGGGGCACGCUGUUGUAAGACGGCGGGGGGUGAGUGGUGUCUGGGGAUGAGAAGCCAGUAGGCCGUCGAGUUGACGCAGGCGGGGUUUGGUCAUCGUAUUUGCGCUUAUUGGAGGCGACGGUAGAGGGGUCUGAACCGGAAGAGUAUUGCGAUUCAUCAGCCAUGAGUAGAGAAAGGAAUAAAGAAACCCUAGGUACUCGACGCUUGAUUAGAAGAUGCAGGAGGAGAGGGACAAGGCUUUUAUAUCAGACAGACGAGGGCCGAGUGACGGUGCUUAUUGACUGUAAAGAGAUUUUUAUGGAUAAUGGCAUGACCUUAACCUUCAACACUUACAUAAAAUGAAAAACAUAUUAAAAAAUUUGAUUAAACACGUGUUAGCAAUUAAAAAAAUUAUUUUUCCUCACCACAAUUUUAAUUCAUUUUACUUUUUUAUAUAUAUUAAAAAAUAUAUUUUUAUUAAUUCUUUAAUUAUAUUUAUUUUAAAAAGAAUAACAAUUAAUAAAAUAUUAUUUAAAAUUAAAUUAAAUAAAAUUAUAAUAAUCGAUUUAUAUAUUAAAUAUAAUAUAAAAAAUAAAAAUAAAUAAUAAUUUAUUUUAAUCUAUCAGAUAUAAGUACUAAAAAUUUGCAAUCUUCAUUAUAUUCAAAACUUUAUGAAAUUCUAAUUUUUAAAUUUAUUUGAUAAUAGUAAAUCACUAAAGUAAUUUAUUCAAUUAGAUAUAAAAUUUCAUUUUAUAUUUGGUUAUAAUUAUAACUAAAAUUUUUAAUUUUAUAACCCAUCUUUUAAUUUAUUGUAAUUAUAAUCUAACCUAUAAAAUAAUUUUAAUCAAUUAUAAAUUAUUAUAUAUAUACCAAUAAUUAUUUUUUUAAUAUUAGUUAAAUUUAUAUAAACAAUCCCUUAAUUUUAAUUAUACAGUAUAUAACUCUUACUAUUCUAAUUCUAACUUAAAAUCUAAAAUACUUAAUCUAAAAUUGUGUUAUAGUUAUUAAUAAGAGUUAGUUGCCUUUGUAGUAUAGAUUAAUUAGAAUUAAGAGAUUAUUUACAUAGAAUAACUAAUAUUUUAAAGGUUUAGUCUAGUGGAAAGUGCAUCCUGUAGCCUUAAAAGGUCUAAAAUUCGACUCCCCCAACUCCUAUUUAAAAAAAAAAAGACAAAUAAAUAACCUAUAACUUUAAUUAAAAUUAUUUUAAAAAUUGAGUAUGAUUGCAAUAAAUUUGAAUAUAAAUAUUUGAAUUGUUAUGUUCUAUUAGUUAAAUUAUUUUAUUUUAGUGAUUGAUUAACACAGCAAUAAAUUUAAAAAUCGUGAUUAAAAUAAAAAAUAAAAUUUUAAAAAUGUCUAUUAAUUUUAUAAUUAAGUCAUUUUAUAAGUAAAUAAAUAACGUUAUACUAAAAGAAUAAAGUUGUACUAAAAAAAAUAAUUUGAUUUCGCCUUAUUUAACUUGAUUCAGUGACUUUAUUUGAGAUAUCCAAGUUUGAAUUCAAGUGUAUACACCUUCGGUCCCUAUUAAAAUAAAGUUGAUUUCAUAAGCAUCCUUUCUCCUCCAUUUUUUAUAAUUGGAUUACAAUAUUUAUGAAAAUACUAAUUAUAGUGAUAUUUUUCUUCUUUAUGACAUUAUUUUGCAAAUAAUUUAGAUUCACAUUCCUUUUUGUGUUUGUUUACAUGAGCGACUAUUUGCUGAUGUAAAGAAAAAUAAUAGGACAAGACUCAACACAACGAUUAAAUACUCCUUGCAGUACUAAACUUUAAUUAGGUGGCCUGCGUUCACAAUCGUCGGAGGAAAGCCAUGUAAUUUUACCACUUCCCUAAUAAAGAGCUCUGUCACUAACGCGCUGUGAAAGGAUAGAGGAGAAAUAAAAUGUACGUUAGUCUAGUCCACAGAAUUUGAUUUAAAUUUAAACAACUGAUCAAACCUAUUGAAGCCUACACAGAUUAAGUUCUGGUUGAGCUUGGCCAGGAAGGUGGGAAAAAGUCUCCUAGCUGUCAACCACUGCUUUAAAUAAUGAACAGCAGAGAAUUUUAGCAAUCAAGUUUGUUUAUUUUAUACUAGUUAUAUAUACUUCCCCGUCUAUAGACUACUGACUUCUUUAGUGGAUUUUUUUUUUUUUUUUAACGUUGGUUAGUUCAUUUUACAAAUGCACAACUCUUGCGGGAGUAUAUUUUGAGCUACUAUAUACAGCCACUGUGAGCAAAACUGAAAAAGGGGUUAAUUGCAAUCAACAUUCUUACAAAAUAUAUGAAUGUCGUUUGUAUUGGGAGAUAAAAUCUGAGAUUGCGAUAAGCACUUCCUUUACGUACUAUAACAUACUGAAAACAGCCUCAGCUUGAGUGGCUUGGAUGGUAACAAGCUAUUGCUUAACUGGGCAAACGAUAUGAUUUAAUAAAAUUCAUAAAGCUGCUGUAAAUACUGGCUAGAAAUCAUGGACUACAUUGCUGGUUUCUUUGAAAAGAGAAAGGCCUAUUUGCGUCCAAAUACUGGCUAGGCUAACUAAAAGGUCUGCUAAGCGCAAGGAAUUUUAUCGUGAAUUCGAGUCAAUCGGGAUACUUCAUCUGUUCAGCUGCCAGAGGUAGGUGCACAUUGCAACAGAGUCGCUUGGCCUAUUUCCCUCGCAUGCAAGUGAGUUCCUAAUUUGGUUUUGAAUUUUAGCUGGAUAACCAAUGCAGCUUAACUAAUUUGACUCUUGAUGCAACGCUCUGAAAACUAGUAGCCAGUAAAUGGGAAUAAUCGACCUACAAUUUCUCCAGCGCAAAACCAAGAAAAGCACUCCAAUCCAAUCCAAGUGGCAAUCUUCGACGCCAAGCACCUGCCUAUUUUACCAUGGAUGUUUGUCAUAAUCAAGCUCCUUCCACAGUGCUUCAUAGCACCCAAGAACAUUUCAUCACACACAGAUUUUUAGGCUCGAAAACAUAUGAGAAAAUGAACAAACUCAAAGCGCAUCGACUGUUUACCCCACGCAAUGCAUGACCUGGCAUGUAACAUGCCAAUAAAACACACAUAUUUGUAGUCGAUAUCUUACCAAGUAGUUCUCCUCAAAUGACGGUGGGAAAAAUAGGAAUGCACAAAAAAAUCCAAAAUUGACCAAACCAAAUUGACGAUUCCAUUAUAACUUGUAAUCCCCAUCCACCUUUCCUGUAGAAUCUAAUAUUUUAGAGGACCCAGUAAGGGCCGUUCUUGAAGUUCACUAGUUCAGAAGGCUGAAAUACAAGUAACUAUAUUUUGCUUAAACAUCUUCCACAGUUGCCCAAUAGAACAAAUUGAUGACCCCAGUGAACUCUUAAAACAAAUUUAUGAAAUAAGUUGCAACCAGAAAUGUUCAAAUGCGAUGCAGGACAGAAAAGCAUGACAAAUAGUACUCAACCUGCAAAUUAACAACAAAAAAUUAAAAUUGCAACAUUUAAAAAAAAAAAAAAAAACUAGCAUGUCCUAAGACAUCUUAAGGAAAUCAAGUCUUCACACUAUAAAUCCGAACUACAACUAACAGCAGGAAUACAUAAAACAUCAAACAACCACCACCAUCUUAAGUUUGUGGCGAUGUUUUUGCAACUCCACUCUGUUGAACAGGCUGUGAUGCUGCUGAAGAAUCAUAAGUCGAACGAGCAUUAUUGCCAGCAUUGCCAUCUGCAGGAUAUGCUGCAGGCUGAGAAUAUCCACCACCAUAAGAAGUGUUGUAAGGUUGCAUCCCCUGUCCAUAACCUGUUUGACCAGCUGUUGCCGAACCAUAAGGCGGACCAUACCCUGGUUGAGCACCUGAAGCACCAAACCCAGAUGGUGGCAGUCGCUGUGGACCUGAAUCUGGUUGGGAAUAGCCAGAUGGCAGAGGCUGAGAAUGUGGGUAUCCAGGCUGCACAGAGGCAGGCUGGCCAUAACCUCCAGGAGUGCUAGGUGAUUGUUGUGUCUGACCAUAAACAGAGGGAUUGGCUGGAGGUUUCUGAGCUUGUGGUGGUCCAUAGUUGGACCCAUAUCCAGGCUGAGCUGGUGGUUGACUCCCAUAACCGGGUUGGGCAUAUCCUGGCUGGGUGGAUCCUUGAGGUGGAUAACUAGAUGGGUUUGGGCUAGGCUGUUGUCCAGUAGUAUAACCUUGCUGACCCAUUGCAGGGGGAUGAGUUGGUGCUUGGGUCGAGUCCCCUUGGGUUCCAUAGGAGGAAGUGUGCCCUUCCUGAGUAGCACUGCCUACAUUACCAUAACUGGGAGCAGAGGUAUAACCUUGCUGUUGAUCAUAUGGUGGUGGUUGACCAUAACCUGAUUGAGUAUAUCCACCAUAGCCAUCAUAACUUUGUCCUUGCUGAUUAAAACCAGAAGUUGGUGGCUGACUGUAAUUAUAACCAGUGUUAUCUGCUGGAGCUGCAGGACCACCAGAGGUUGGUGGUGGUUGUGAAGAAGCUGGCUGAUUAUAGUAAUCAUAACCCUGACCAGUUUGCUGAUUGGCAGAGACAUUUGACUGAUCCCAGUUGGAUGG
RNAcentral lists this long non-coding RNA (9669 nucleotides) under Manihot esculenta (cassava). RNAcentral describes it as "long non-coding RNA (MESC_LNC009874)". The record is from RNAcentral. Lineage: Eukaryota; Viridiplantae; Streptophyta; Magnoliopsida; Malpighiales; Euphorbiaceae.